Molecule: ribosomal RNA, 500 nt
Filed under: uncultured bacterium
Lineage: Bacteria
Description: partial 16S ribosomal RNA
Rfam family: Bacterial small subunit ribosomal RNA
Source: RNAcentral
AUUGAACGCUGGCGGAAUGCUUUACACAUGCAAGUCGAACGGCAGCACGGACUUCGGUCUGGUGGCGAGUGGCGAACGGGUGAGUAACAUAUCGGAACGUAUCCAAUAAUGGGGGAUAACUAAUCGAAAGGUUGGCUAAUACCGCAUACGCCCUACGGGGGAAAGCUAGGGACCUUCGGGCCUGGCGUUAAUGGAGCGGCCGAUAUCUGAUUAGCUAGUUGGUGGGGUAAAGGCCCACCAAGGCGACGAUGAGUAGCUGGUCUGAGAGGACGACCAGCCACACUGGAACUGAGACACGGUCCAGACUCCUACGGGAGGCAGCAGUGGGGAAUUUUGGACAAUGGGCGCAAGCCUGAUCCAGCCAUUCCGCGUGAGUGAAGAAGGCCUUCGGGUUGUAAAGCUCUUUCGCAAGGGAAGAAAACUUAGCCACUAACAUUGGCUGAGGUUGACGGUACCUUGAUAAGAAGCACCGGCUAACUACGUGCCAGCCGCCGCCGUAA